UUGCUUCAGCAGCAAAUACACUAAAAUUGGCAUGAUAUAGAGAAGUUUAGAAUGGCCCUUGUCCAAGGAGGACACACAAAUUGGUGAAAUAUUUAAAAAAAUG
Small nuclear RNA from Monodelphis domestica (gray short-tailed opossum), 103 nucleotides. NCBI's taxonomy places the organism in Eukaryota, Metazoa, Chordata, Mammalia, Didelphimorphia, Didelphidae. The record is from Ensembl.